UACGGAGGAUGCAAGCGUUAUCCGGAUUUAUUGGGUUUAAAGGGUGCGUAGGCGGCUUUUUAAGUCAGUGGUGAAAUCCCGGGGCCUAACCUCGGAACUGCCAUUGAUACUGGAAAGCUUGAAUUCGGCUGAGGUAGGCGGAAUGUAGCAUGUAGCGGUGAAAUGCAUAGAUAUGCUACAGAACACCAAUUGCGAAGGCAGCUUACUAAACCGAUAUUGACGCUGAGGCACGAAAGCGUGGGGAGCGAACAGG
Molecule: unclassified non-coding RNA, 253 nt
Filed under: uncultured Bacteroidota bacterium
Lineage: Bacteria; Pseudomonadati; Bacteroidota
Description: uncultured Bacteroidetes bacterium contains 16S-23S intergenic spacer region
Rfam family: Bacterial small subunit ribosomal RNA
Source: RNAcentral